AUGGGAAUCACCAAGGAAUUUGAGGUGCAGGCCCACGGCAACACCAAGUUGCAAGUGAUCCACACCAACGAGUUGCACAAGGCUGCCACCAUCAUUGAGCAGUACGAGCGACACCUCGAAUUCGAGCGCCACAAGAUCGUCGGAGUUGAUGUGGAGUACACCAAUGACGUUGGCGAAGAUCAGAAACCAGCCCUCGUCAUGAUCUCCAUCGGCAAGGAUCAUCCGGUGCUACUCUUUCAACUGAGCGCCGCCGACAAGAACUGCACCACGUUCGACAACUUCCUCGCCGACCCCAGGUACACGUUUGUUGGCUUCUCCAUCGACGGUGACAAAGAGAUGCUCGGCCGAGUCGGACUGGAGAUCGCCCACUUCGUCGACAUCCAGAAAGAAUGGAGGGUGCCUACAGCUACCAAGCCUCUGGACUCCCUUGGGGACGCGUCAGGCAUCCUUGUGAACGACAUAGAGCUCACCAACGCAUAG
This 480-nucleotide ribosomal RNA is filed under the name Triticum aestivum (bread wheat). Its description in RNAcentral is "partial small subunit ribosomal RNA". Lineage: Eukaryota; Viridiplantae; Streptophyta; Magnoliopsida; Poales; Poaceae. The record is from RNAcentral.